RNAcentral lists this unclassified non-coding RNA (389 nucleotides) under Hevea brasiliensis (rubber tree). Lineage: Eukaryota; Viridiplantae; Streptophyta; Magnoliopsida; Malpighiales; Euphorbiaceae. The record is from RNAcentral.
AAGAACCUUUGAUAAGAUGAAAGGAUUUUUCAUUAAAAGUAAAUUUGAUGAAAGGGCUUAAUUUGUGAGGGCGUUUAGAGAGCAAGCACGUGAAGAUGGUAUGUGUGGAGCAAUGAUUGAAUAGAAAUGGGCAAUUUUUGUGGAAAUAGGCCCAAAGAAGAGAAGGGGUGAAAUGUAUGUAACGUGACAAGUGAUGUGCCGUCAUUUUCAUGCCUUGUCGUCACAGUUGCAAAAUGGUGGGCCACGUGAGUUAACCCCGCAACUCACGUGCAAAAUUACAAAACGAUAUAGCAUAUGAUAUAAUUUAUGCAAACCACUGCUACUCCUCACCGUCCAACCAACCAAACGCUAAUUUGGGUCCGCCUGCUUGGCACCGGCGUUUCCACGUG